Molecule: ribosomal RNA, 1497 nt
Filed under: Lactobacillus sp.
Lineage: Bacteria; Bacillati; Bacillota; Bacilli; Lactobacillales; Lactobacillaceae
Also listed under: 1 other name
Description: bacterial SSU rRNA
Rfam family: Bacterial small subunit ribosomal RNA
Source: RNAcentral
GAUGAACGCCGGCGGUGUGCCUAAUACAUGCAAGUCGUACGCGUUGGCCCAACUGAUUUGAAGUGCUUGCACGGAUCUGACGUUGGUUUACCAACGAGUGGCGGACGGGUGAGUAACACGUAGGUAACCUGCCCAGAAGCGGGGGACAACACUUGGAAACAGGUGCUAAUACCGCAUAACAAUUCAAAUCGCAUGAUUUGAAUUUGAAAGAUGGUUUCGGCUAUCACUUCUGGAUGGACCUGCGGCGCAUUAGCUUGUUGGUGGGGUAACGGCCUACCAAGGCAGUGAUGCGUAGCCGAGUUGAGAGACUGAUCGGCCACAAUGGGACUGAGACACGGCCCAUACUCCUACGGGAGGCAGCAGUAGGGAAUCUUCCACAAUGGGCGCAAGCCUGAUGGAGCAACACCGCGUGAGUGAAGAAGGUUUUCGGAUCGUAAAGCUCUGUUGUUGAAGAAGAACGUGCAUGAGAGUAACUGUUCAUGCAGUGACGGUAUUCAACCAGAAAGUCACGGCUAACUACGUGCCAGCAGCCGCGGUAAUACGUAGGUGGCAAGCGUUAUCCGGAUUUAUUGGGCGUAAAGAGAGUGCAGGCGGUUUCUUAAGUCUGAUGUGAAAGCCUUCGGCUCAACCGAAGAAGUGCAUCGGAAACUGGGAAACUUGAGUACAGAAGAGGGCAGUGGAACUCCAUGUGUAGCGGUGGAAUGCGUAGAUAUAUGGAAGAACACCAGUGGCGAAGGCGGCUGCCUGGUCUGUAACUGACGCUGAGACUCGAAAGCAUGGGUAGCGAACAGGAUUAGAUACCCUGGUAGUCCAUGCCGUAAACGAUGAGUGCUAGGUGUUGGAGGGUUUCCGCCCUUCAGUGCCGGAGCUAACGCAUUAAGCACUCCGCCUGGGGAGUACGACCGCAAGGUUGAAACUCAAAGGAAUUGACGGGGGCCCGCACAAGCGGUGGAGCAUGUGGUUUAAUUCGAAGCUACGCGAAGAACCUUACCAGGUCUUGACAUCUUGCGCCAACCCUAGAGAUAGGGCGUUUCCUUCGGGAACGCAAUGACAGGUGGUGCAUGGUCGUCGUCAGCUCGUGUCGUGAGAUGUUGGGUUAAGUCCCGCAACGAGCGCAACCCUUGUUACUAGUUGCCAGCAUUAAGUUGGGCACUCUAGUGAGACUGCCGGUGACAAACCGGAGGAAGGUGGGGACGACGUCAGAUCAUCAUGCCCCUUAUGACCUGGGCUACACACGUGCUACAAUGGACGGUACAACGAGCAGCGAACUCGCGAGGGCAAGCAAAUCUCUUAAAACCGUUCUCAGUUCGGAUUGCAGGCUGCAACUCGCCUGCAUGAAGUCGGAAUCGCUAGUAAUCGCGGAUCAGCAUGCCGCGGUGAAUACGUUCCCGGGCCUUGUACACACCGCCCGUCACACCAUGAGAGUUUGUAACACCCAAAGUCGGUGGGGUAACCUUUUGGAGCCAGCCGCCUAAGGUGGGACAGAUGAUUAGGGUG